RNAcentral lists this small RNA (78 nucleotides) under Flavobacterium sp. 1. Its description in RNAcentral is "Flavo-1 RNA". It matches the Rfam family "Flavo-1 RNA". Lineage: Bacteria; Pseudomonadati; Bacteroidota; Flavobacteriia; Flavobacteriales; Flavobacteriaceae. The record is from RNAcentral.
UUUGAGCCCUGAUCGAAGUGAAAAUCCUUGUUGCCCGGGGUUCGGGCAACAAGAUUAUAACGGAGAGCAGGAAUCAUA